Molecule: ribosomal RNA, 497 nt
Filed under: uncultured bacterium
Lineage: Bacteria
Description: partial 16S ribosomal RNA
Rfam family: Bacterial small subunit ribosomal RNA
Source: RNAcentral
GAUGAACGCUGGCGGCGUGCUUAACACAUGCAAGUCGAGCGAACGGACGAGAAGCUUGUUUCUUUGUUGUUAGCGGAGGACGUGUGAGUAACACGUGGAUAACCUACCUAUAAGUCGGGGAUAACUUCGGGAAACCGGAGCUAAUAGCGUAUAAUAUUUUGAUCCGUAUUGUUCAAAAGUGAAAGUCGGCCUUGCUGUCACUUAUAGAUGGAUCCGCGCUGCAUUAGCUAGUUGGUAAGGUAACGGCUUACUAGGGCAACGAUGCGUAGCCGACCUGUGAGGGGGGUCGGCCACACUGGAAGUGGACCACGGUCCAGGCUCCUACGAGAGGCAGCAGUAGGGUAUCGUACGCAGUAGGCGAGAGCAUGACAGAGUGACGCCGCGUGAGUGAUAGCGGUCUUCGGAUCGUAAAACUCUGUUAUUAGUGAAGAACAUAUGUGUAAGUAACUGUGCAGUUCUUGACGGUACCGAGUAAGAAAGCCCCGGCUAACUACGUG